This 3490-nucleotide long non-coding RNA is filed under the name Nicotiana tabacum (common tobacco). RNAcentral describes it as "long non-coding RNA (NTAB_LNC001046)". Lineage: Eukaryota; Viridiplantae; Streptophyta; Magnoliopsida; Solanales; Solanaceae. The record is from RNAcentral.
CCAUAACAUGGAAGUCAAGUAAACGUAACUCGAGGUGACAACUAAGCAUGAACCUUAGAAUUUGGACUGUAAAAUGACUUCAAAAGUCUCAAACAUCAUUUAUUUACAAGGUAAUGUACAUUUUUAAGUUCUUAAAAAUAAAAAGUCUCAAACAUAAAAGUACAAAAACUUAAAAAGCAUAAUGUAGGCUAUGUCACAUACGCUUGAACUCAGGGAAUCCAUCUGAAUCAGUGAACAAUGACAAACCAUAUUUAGCUGAGACUAUAAAGGUACAUCCACAUACAAUGACAAUAACAGUAAGAGACUUAAAAUGCAUAAUAUUUCUACAAUGGUUGGAGAAUUGCCAAGCUUGGGAGGAAUUGGUCCAUUGAAUCGAAGUCAAAAAUCUUUCAUUUUCAUAAAAGCUAAUUUCCUUUAGUAUUUUGUACCAUCACAUGUAUACUCAUUCAAAGUCCUGCAUAUCAACAAUAUAGUAACAUAAAAAUUUUUUGAAAAAUUUCGAAUGUUAGAAGCUAAUACUUAUCCUUUAUUGGGAAAUAGCUUAUAAUUUCCACGAAAAAGAGAUUUCGUACAAGUAUUGAAAGAAAAUCCAUUUAAGAAGCAUCAUAAACGUUACUGUAAAAGAGAAAGUGAACAUGCAAAUUAGAGGCUCUACUGAUAUGUUCCAAGAUAUAUCAAAUAAAUUGAAUUUUAUUGAAAAAAAUUAAUAACCAAAUAAAUAUACAAAAAGUACAAAAAUUAUAUAAGUGGAAGACACUUCUUCAAGUUUUUAUGACGACAGAUCUUGCGUCAUAAAGCAAAGUUUCCAAGUCUAUCAUAAGAAUCUAAGUCAAAGACAUUCUAAUUAAUUCGGUAAGUCAAAAAAGUAAUGUGUUCUUUUUGCUUUGAGCUUCAAGAAUCUUAAAGUGAAGUCAAUAAUUUAUCAAGAUAAUCUUAAUAUGCAAUCACCAAUAUAUCUAGAUACAUACAUAUAUCUAGAUGCUACAUUAGCCAAUAACAUUAAAGCGCCCCACUGUUGGACUCUUAUUUUGAAGACAGACAACCAAGAAAAGUCAAUAUUUUAUUAGCGGCAGCCAGCAGGGAUCACUAUAUUCUGCAUUUAACAUAUAUCAAGUCCUAUAACCUUUUCAUUGUGAAAUUACUCAUUCCUCAUGAAUAAGAUAUCAUAAUAUUUCAAGCCAGCAUCACUGAGUUGACCAGAAAUUGCAUUAUAAUGUCCAUGUUGUUUCUUAUUGCUUGCAAUUAGUGUUUAGAGUGUCUCUCAAGUUGGACUUCUUUGAACUAUUCAGGAAGCAUCUCUAUCCCACUGAUCUCAAACUGAUGGACAAAUUAAAUAUGAAGAUCAAAAUAACACAAUGAAUGCAAUCACGUAGAAAAACCUCCUUCAAAUGAUAAUAAUAGAAGGACUCAACAACAUAAUAAGUAAAGGAAAUAUAAACAGAUGAAUUUUCUCAAUUAACAAAACCAAACUUUUUAUAUCUAGUGUUUUUGGUGAAUCUUGCUCUAAUGAAGUUGUACCUUUCCUGUUUCCCUCUCGCUACCACCACGCUGAAAGCAAUAAGAACUUUUAAGAAGAAACUAAAAAAAGGGGAAAUAUUUUAGUAUCUUGAAAAAAGAAAUUUUCAAUUGAAAAUACAUUACCAGCGUUGGGUGGUUAAAGACCAGAAGCAGAGAGAACAUUAUUUUUGGGUUAACACAUCCAUGGACUCUUGUAAUCACUAAUAGCUGGUGAAGCUAAUCCAGUAUUCAUCUACCAAAUAUAAGAAAUCAUAAUUCCCAAUCAGUAGAUCUGAAGGUCAGUGUCAUGGUACUAUCUGAAGAAUCGUCUUUAAAGAGCUGCAUAAAAGAUAUAAGUCUCUGCUUCGCACAAGUUUGCCCAUUAAAAACUACUAUAAAGUAGACAUAUAACUGGAACACUUCUUUGCAGAGAACUAUCAUACAUUUCCAUUACUUGAACACAUUAAUGGUGGCCAUAUUGUCCCAUUUCCUUCCUUAUAUCAUAUUGCCGGACACAUAAAUAUCAUGUCAAAGAUAACCAAAUAACAACGAAGCUAAUUUUCAGUUAAGUGUCGAAUGAGUAUAGAAUAUCAACUCUGUAUAUAAUAAAAUGUAAGAGACGAAUGUAGUGGACGAAGUAUAACAAUUAGCAUGGCCAAAAAAAAAACCACGGUGCAGCUAUUUGGAGAAAUCAUAACCUGUUCCGAGAGUAGCAAGCUUAAGCCAACAUUAACUGUUGGUAUGCACGGACUGAGAUGGGAAAAUGUUCAGAGUUUGUGGUCUCAUUCUAUAUUUCUUUGCAACUUCUCAAGAAUGGAAGCUUCUAUAUUUCUGACAGGUUAUGUAUUUUAGCUCUUUGGAAAAAGCCGCAGCAAAAAGAUGGGAAAAACAAAUAUAUGUCCACACUACUACAUCUAUCAACUUAAAUAAACAAAGAAAACAACCUCAUGUCAAUUACUAUACACUAUGUAACAAUCUAAUACUCGGCAACACAAUUAUACACUAUGACUAUAACAAUUAUGCCAAUCAAUCUAUGGUAACUCUAGCAUUCUAUAGGACCUUAUACUGUUUCCUGUGUGCUCGUCAAGUUUAGCACUUGCGAAAUUCAACUUGAGCUCUAAAGGAUUACCUGUUAGUUUUGUAUGAUACCGUCAAUUUAAUCUGUAAUCUCAUUGUUCUAAUCUCAACUUUGAGAUUUAUGAUAGCAUACAUGUGUUGAUACAUCAUAUUUGUUAUUAUAACCCGGCAAAUUCAAUUCGAAGGAAGAAUUUCGACUCUCCUAGAUCUUUUAUCUUGAAAUUUCGGUGUAGUACCUCUUAGAUUCUUCAACCAUCUUGUCAUCGUCCGUGUGAUCAGCAAGUUAUUGACAUAUAAAAGGAUCACAAGUUCACAACCAUGUUACUGCCAUGUCUUCUGGUGAACAAAAAGCAAUAUAAGAAAUAAAUCUCUCAAAAAAUACAAAAGUGGCAUUACUAUAUCAUUUUCAUAACUUUGAUGACCAUAUUAAAUAAAUCCAAAGAAUAUAACUUUUUUUUUUCAUUAACAAAGGAUAAAUUAAACUUUGGCAUAUUAAAUUUGAGCAAAAAAAGAUAUCCAUUUUAAAUUCACAUUCUUUUAUAGUGAGUUAACUUUACCAACUACAAUACAUCUUAAACAGUAUAGUGAAAGUACCAAUCACUGCUUAUAAAAAUAAAGAAUGUUAUGUCACCAUAGAAUAAUAACAGACAAGGAAAUUCACCCAUGAAAUAGAAAAUUGUUAAGAGAUCUCAAAGAAGAAGAAGAAGAAGACAAAGAAAAAAAGAAAAAGAUUGGAGCAAAAACCGUGAGAGAAUCAUACCCGAAAUGGUUUCUUCAAAUUCUGAAGAAGGAGAACUCAAAGAGUUCACCUAAGUUUUUGAUGGAACAUAGGAGAGAUGUUUCUAGACCCAUAUCUUUCGUUUGUGUCGAAAUAGUGAGCACUGUUAAAGAUAGAAAUAGGGGAAAAAUAAAAUGG